UGAGCAAUCUGCCCUUCUCUUUGGAAUAAGCGUUGGAAACGACGUCUAAUGCCGAAUACGACCUCCUUUCGCAUGAUUGGAGGUGGAAAGCUCCGGCGGAGAAGGAUGAGCUCGCGGCCUAUCAGCUAGUUGGUGUGGGUAAUGGCCCACCAAGGCGACGACGGGUAGCCGGCCUGAGAGGGUGACCGGCCACACUGGGACUGAGACACGGCCCAGACUCCGUACGGGAGGNAGCG
RNAcentral lists this ribosomal RNA (236 nucleotides) under uncultured bacterium. RNAcentral describes it as "partial 16S ribosomal RNA". It matches the Rfam family "Bacterial small subunit ribosomal RNA", at positions 118 to 353 of the family's 1533-position model. The record is from RNAcentral.